RNAcentral lists this transfer RNA (86 nucleotides) under Agaricus bisporus var. bisporus H97. RNAcentral's name for it is "tRNA-Phe". The record is from RNAcentral. Lineage: Eukaryota; Fungi; Basidiomycota; Agaricomycetes; Agaricales; Agaricaceae.
GGGGGCAUAGCUCAGUUGGGAGAGCAGUAGACUGAAGGAGAAAACCCGUAUUCUAAAGGUCCCGCGUUCGAUCCGCGGUGCCCCCA